UACAAAAAGUGUACAGAUUGA
RNAcentral lists this non-coding RNA (21 nucleotides) under Caenorhabditis elegans. The record is from RNAcentral. Lineage: Eukaryota; Metazoa; Nematoda; Chromadorea; Rhabditida; Rhabditidae.